UCGAGCGAACAGACGAGGAGCUUGCUCCUCUGACGUUAGCGGCGGACGGGUGAGUAACACGUGGAUAACCUACCUAUAAGACUGGGACAACUUCGGGAAACCGGAGCUAAUACCGGAUAAUAUAUUGAACCGCAUGGUUCAAUAGUGAAAGACGGUUUUGCUGUCACUUAUAGAUGGAUCCGCGCCGCAUUAGCUAGUUGGUAAGGUAACGGCUUACCAAGGCAACGAUGCGUAGCCGACCCGAGAGGGUGAUCGGCCACACUGGAACUGAGACACGGUCCAGACUCCUACGGGAGGCAGCAGUAGGGAAUCUUCCGCAAUGGGCGAAAGCCUGACGGAGCAACGCCGCGUGAGUGAUGAAGGUCUUCGGAUCGUAAAACUCUGUUAUUAGGGAAGAACAAAUGUGUAAGUAACUAUGCACGUCUUGACGGUACCUAAUCAGAAAGCCACGGCUAACUACGUGCCAGCAGCCGCGGUAAUACGUAGGUGGCAAGCGUUAUCCGGAAUUAUUGGGCGUAAAGCGCGCGUAGGCGGUUUUUUAAGUCUGAUGUGAAAGCCCACGGCUCAACCGUGGAGGGUCAUUGGAAACUGGAAAACUUGAGUGCAGAAGAGGAAAGUGGAAUUCCAUGUGUAGCGGUGAAAUGCGCAGAGAUAUGGAGGAACACCAGUGGCGAAGGCGACUUUCUGGUCUGUAACUGACGCUGAUGUGCGAAAGCGUGGGGAUCAAACAGGAUUA
RNAcentral lists this ribosomal RNA (736 nucleotides) under uncultured Staphylococcus sp. Its description in RNAcentral is "bacterial SSU rRNA". It matches the Rfam family "Bacterial small subunit ribosomal RNA", at positions 62 to 780 of the family's 1533-position model. Lineage: Bacteria; Bacillati; Bacillota; Bacilli; Caryophanales; Staphylococcaceae. The record is from RNAcentral.